RNA transcript from Solanum tuberosum (potato), 4082 nucleotides. It is a transcript of the gene named DEAD-box ATP-dependent RNA helicase 20, with no coding region annotated. The record is from RefSeq and is a predicted model, not a curated record. The transcript is spliced from 10 exons. NCBI's taxonomy places the organism in Eukaryota, Viridiplantae, Streptophyta, Magnoliopsida, Solanales, Solanaceae.
GAAAAUAUCUUGUACUAAAAUAUUACAUUUGCGAGAAAGAAGAGAAAUAAAAGGUUAACACAUAGCAGAGAGGAGGGAAACACGAUUGAAGGGGAAAAUCCAGUUUUCUUUGCCUCCCUUUCAGCUUUCAAAUCCGAAAAACCCUAAUUAUCUCUUCCGACUAUGAGCUACCCUAAUUACGACUCCAGAUACGGUGAUUCAGGCUCCUAUCGACAGCGACGAAGUGACCUAAUGGGUCCGCAGCCUUCCAUGUAUCCACGGCCUAUGUCUGAUGGAGGUGCCGCUAGCUACGGCCGUGGUGGGCCGCUUCCUUAUGGAGGUCCUCAGGCAGGGGGUCCACCGCCUAUGGAUGGUGGUUCUAGAGGGGGUAUGGGUGGAUCUGGACGCGUUGGUGGUGGGUAUCCACCUUUUGAGGGUGGGUUUCCAAGAGGGUCGGAUAUAGGCAGGUUUGGAGGUGGAGGAGUUGACAGAGUGGCUAAUGGUGGUAUGGGAGAACGGCCUGGGAGAUUUGGUGCUGGGGCAAGCUACAGUGGAGGUAGGAGUGGUGGUGGGAGAGGAGGUAGGGGUUUUGAUGGAGGCUACAGUGGUGGACGAGGAGGUGGAAGGUUUAGUUCGGACGGAGGACGUGGUAGUAGUGGCGGGAGAGGAGGUAGGCAUGGGAGAUCACGAGAUGAUCUUGACAACCUUACUCUUCCAAAGCAGGACUUUGGAAAUUUGGUACCUUUUGAGAAGAACUUUUAUGUUGAAAAUCAUGCGGUGAGGGCAAUGACAGAUCAGGAGGUUGCUCAUUAUCGUGCACGGCGUGACAUUACCAUUGAAGGACAGGAUGUCCCUAGGCCAAUUCAGAUGUUCCAUGAGGCCAACUUUCCUGAUUAUUGCCUCGAGGUUAUUUCAAGACUAGGAUUUGUUGAGCCAACACCUAUCCAAUCACAAGGAUGGCCAAUGGCUUUAAAGGGCAGAGACUUAAUUGGAAUUGCUGAAACCGGUUCUGGAAAGACUUUGGCAUAUUUAUUGCCUGCUUUGGUCCAUGUCAGUGCACAGCCCCGGUUGGCACAAGGUGAUGGUCCAAUUGUGCUGGUAUUAGCACCUACAAGAGAAUUAGCUGUUCAGAUUCAAGAAGAAGCUGUCAAAUUUGGAUCACGUGCCAACAUAAGAAGUACUUGCAUUUAUGGUGGUGCCCCAAAAGGACCUCAAAUCCGUGACCUUAGAAGAGGAGUUGAAAUUGUGAUAGCAACCCCCGGUCGGUUAAUAGAUAUGCUGGAAGCUCAACAUACGAACCUGAAACGAGUGACAUAUCUUGUAUUGGACGAGGCUGAUCGAAUGCUGGAUAUGGGGUUUGAGCCUCAAAUAAGGAAACUAAUUUCCCAGAUUAGACCAGAUAGACAAACCUUGUAUUGGAGUGCCACUUGGCCCAAGGAGGUUGAAUCACUGGCCAGACAGUUUUUACGUAAUCCCUACAAAGUCAUCAUUGGGUCUCCAGAAUUGAAAGCAAAUCAAUCUAUAAGGCAAGUCAUUGAAGUUGUCACAGAUUUAGAGAAAUAUAGCAGGUUGAUUGGGCUUUUGAAAGAAGUGAUGGAUGGAAGUCGAAUCCUAAUAUUUGUAGAAACAAAGAAAGGAUGUGAUCAAGUCACAAGACAAUUGAGAAUGGAUGGAUGGCCAGCUUUAUCCAUCCAUGGUGAUAAAAGCCAGGAUGAGAGGGAUUGGGUCCUUGCUGAUUUCAAAACUGGAAGAAGUCCCAUAAUGAUUGCCACUGAUGUUGCUGCACGUGGUCUUGGUAGGACCAAUCAUGUUAAGGAUUAGGAUUUUUUUAGUCUGUCCAUUUAGGGCUUUCACAGUAGAGCUAACGAGUCUCCGGCUGCUGUCAACUUUCCUGAGUAAAUAAUCUGUGGUUUGGGCCGAUAGCUAGGGGCACGUUAACCACAAUAACAGUGUUUUUGCACCAUAAGCAGGAGAGAUUAUAGGAUUUAUGGGAUUAGAACCAUUAGUUGAAUUUCAAUAGAACUUCAGCAGGAGCUUAAGUAAACAUGUCACACUCAGGUCCUUACUUUAAAAGCCACCACUAAAAAACCACACUUUGAGUUUAACUGCAAUUUGAUAGGGUUUUGGUUUCAGCUGGUGUUUGAGUUGUUUGAACACCAACUGCAUCUCUCAAAUUGUCCAGACAUUGUUUCAGUUGAUGAAUCUAAUCUCUUGAUAAGAUUUAAGGCAGAAAUUGAUAGUGAUCCCUUUGAAAGGGUAUUAUGUGACCAGCUCUUGAGUAAUCUCUAAAAAGGGAUGUUUAAAUAGGAUGAAACUGCUCGUACAGUGAGUACUAUGGUGAUGUAAUACUCUAUGGGAAUUGGGAAUUGAAGGAUUAUAUACUUCUAAAAAUGAUAAUUCCUUUUUCGGUCUGUAUUGGAUGUUUGGUCAUAAGAAAACGAGAGGUUGGGCAUCUAAUUUCAAAUGUGGGAGUACACCUAUUUAAGUUGGAUAUACUAGAAAAUUAGAGUACCGAAAGAAUCAAUUUGCAAGUUGGUAAAGAGAUCAAUUAGUUUCAGAAAACCCGAGAUCAAGAGUAGGUUACAAAAGGCUGCAUGGUGAGUCCUAUUCUCAUUAGUGGACUUCGUUUACGCAGCCUUGGAAAUUUGUCAUACAAAUUGCAAGUGAUGUCUAAUGUCUGUUGGCUUAGCAUCACACCAAGAACUUGUAGCUUGUUCUUCUGAUUAUCUUAUCCUCACAAUCUAGAAAGAAAUUAAGUUACAAGUAGAAUUACCUGUACAGUUUCUUUUACAUCUAUGGGCUAACUGGGAAUAUGUAUUUUUUUAUUUAUUUAAUUGAAAUCUAUAGGAACUUGUGAGUAUUACACUCAUCACCCCAUGCUUAGAGCGCACAAGCUAACUGAAUAUCUGAUUGCAUUUCUCUCCACACUAGAAAGUUGUUGGGUGGUUAUGAUACUGUUGGGACCGAGUGUUGCACCACUUUGUCUUGCUGAUUAGUGGAGCAUUUGAGCAUUCAAGCUGAAUGAAUGGCCAAUUGCUCUAUUCAACAUUUAGAAAGUAGGAUGGUGGGUAUAAAGGGGAUAUGUGAGUUCUUUCGGCUGAAUUGGUUUUGGGUUUAAAACUAUCGCCAACUGCCUUUGUGAAGAAUAGGCAUAAGAAGGAAACUGGAAACUGGUAUAGAAUGUGACACUUGAAAUUCUAGCUGCUUAUGUCAAAUGAAGGUGUUAAACUGCAUCGUGCAAUUAGUGAAUGAUCAUAAGAGAUGCUCUUCCUCUAUGUGGUUGGAAGAAAAGUAGUGUUUGUUAUACUUUAGGAAUUUUAAGCUUAGGGAGGUGACUUUUUCCCCAAAAGGGUAUGUCUCACGUCAUUUUGUCUAAGUAAGGUCGAGGUUAACGUUGCCCAUCCACAGUUAUGGAGCUGGUUGUCCUGACAGUCCGGUAGACUCAUGCAAGAUUAUUGUGUCACUGGAAUUGAUUUUGCAAGUUCUGGUGGAGCUGCUCCUUAUCCCUGCCAGGUUAAGAUGUCAAAGACAUAAAGUGUGUUAUCAACUAUGAUUUCCCUUCAAGUCUCGAGGAUUAUAUUCAUAGGAUUGGCAGAACUGGACGUGCUGGUGCAACAGGAACUGCCUAUACAUUUUUCACUCACGCAAAUGCCAAGUUUACCAGAGAGCUUAUCAAGAUCCUGCAGCAGGCAGGACAAAUCGUUCCUCCUCAACUUUCUGCAUUAGCAAGGUCUAGUGGUCAUAGCACUGGAGGGAGCAAUUUCAGGUCUAGAGGACGAGGUGGCUUUGGGAACCGGGGACAGAGAUCUGGGUCUAAUGUAAUUCCUAUUGGCGGUUCAAGAAGGCCUUGGUAGUUACUGAGUCUAGUAUAGGAAAUGUAUACUAGACAUAAUUUUGGGAUUUCUCUAUGCUUUUUGCUUACAGUUGAAGCAUAUAGAUUUUAGUUAAACUCAUCUCUUUCCUUUGUUGUCUUGGUCGAGUUGGUUCAUUAAACGGCCAGUUAUUAGGAAUUUGGAUAUGCAGAUGGAGAUAACAUAGUUUGUGCAGGAAUAGAAUAUUAUGCUGUCUGGUGCUAUAUUUAUACCCUUUUAAAUUUAAAUUCA